Molecule: ribosomal RNA, 251 nt
Filed under: uncultured prokaryote
Description: partial 16S ribosomal RNA
Rfam family: Bacterial small subunit ribosomal RNA
Source: RNAcentral
UACGGAGGAUGCAAGCGUUAUCCGGAUUUAUUGGGUUUAAAGGGUGCGCAGGUUGUUUGAUAAGUCAGUGGUGAAAGUCUGUCGCUUAACGGUAGGAUUGCCAUUGAUACUGUUGGACUUGAAUAUGGAUGUGGUAGGCGGAAUGUGUAGUGUAGCGGUGAAAUGCUUAGAUAUGACGCAGAACUCCGAUUGCGAAGGCAGCUUACUGGGAUGCAACUGACGCUGAGGCACGAAAGCGUGGGGAUCGAACA